GUUCAACUCCCUCCUCUACUA
RNAcentral lists this transfer RNA (21 nucleotides) under Eolophus roseicapilla (galah). RNAcentral's name for it is "Eolophus roseicapillus (galah) partial tRNA-Met". Lineage: Eukaryota; Metazoa; Chordata; Aves; Psittaciformes; Cacatuidae. The record is from RNAcentral.